RNAcentral lists this unclassified non-coding RNA (302 nucleotides) under fungal sp. Its description in RNAcentral is "partial internal transcribed spacer region". The stretch from base 1 to 68 matches the Rfam family "Eukaryotic small subunit ribosomal RNA", at positions 1764 to 1831 of the family's 1831-position model. The record is from RNAcentral. Lineage: Eukaryota; Fungi.
CUUGGUCAUUUAGUGGAAGGUGAAGUCGUAACAAGGUUUCCGUAGGUGAACCUGCGGAAGGAUCAUUACCACACCUAAAAAACUUUCCACGUGAACUGUCAAACCUGUUCUGUGCUUGUGCUGGGUCUGCGUUUUCGGACGCGGACGCGGUGGAGGCUGAACGAAGGCUGGUUUCAUUUGUAUGAGAUCAGCUGAUAUAUUUUUUCAAACCCCUUUUUUACAAAAUGACUGAUCAAUACUGUGAGAACGAAAGUUCUUGCUUUAAACUAGAUAACAACUUUCAGCAGUGGAUGUCUAGGCUC